GAUGAACGCUGGCGGCGCGCCUAACACAUGCAAGUCGAACGGUUAAAGCACCUUUUAGGUGUGUAUAAAGUGGCGAACGGCUGAGUAACACGUGGGCAACCUGCCCUCCUCUUGGGGAUAGCCUCGGGAAACCGAGGAUAAUACCCGAUACUUCAAUGUGGCCGCAUGACGACAUUGAGAAAGCUUUUGCGGAGAAGGAUGGGCCCGCGGCCUGUUAGCUUGUUGGUGGGGUAGAGGCCUACCAAGGCAAUGAUGGGUAGCUGGGUUGAGAGACCGACCAGCCAGAUUGGGACUGAGACACGGCCCAGACUCCUACGGGAGGCAGCAGUGGGGAAUCUUGCACAAUGGGCGAAAGCCUGAUGCAGCGACGCCGCGUGCGGGACGAAGGCCUUCGGGUUGUAAACCGCUUUCAGCAGGGACGAGGCGAAAGUGACGGUACCUGCAGAAGAAGCCCCGGCUAACUACGUGCCAGCAGCCGCGGUAAUACGUAGGGGGCAAGCGUUAUCCGGAUUCAUUGGGCGUAAAGCGCUCGUAGGCGGUCUGUUAGGUCGGGAGUUAAAUCCGGAGGCUCAACCUCCGCCCGCUCCCGAUACCGGCAGACUUGAGUUUGGUAGGGGAAGGUGGAAUUCCUAGUGUAGCGGUGGAAUGCGCAGAUAUUAGGAAGAACACCAGUGGCGAAGGCGGCCUUCUGGGCCAUAACUGACGCUGAGGAGCGAAAGCUAGGGGAGCAAACAGG
RNAcentral lists this ribosomal RNA (736 nucleotides) under uncultured Actinomycetes bacterium. RNAcentral's name for it is "bacterial SSU rRNA". It matches the Rfam family "Bacterial small subunit ribosomal RNA", at positions 28 to 776 of the family's 1533-position model. The record is from RNAcentral. RNAcentral also lists the same sequence under 1 other name. Lineage: Bacteria; Bacillati; Actinomycetota; Actinomycetes.